CAUCAAUGUUUUCAUUGCAGAGCUGCAGGUAAACUCUAUGAUAGCAUGAUGAUGGAACUCAGAGUUCGGGUCAUCAAUGAGAAGAUUUCGACUAAUACUGCCAUAUCUCAAAAGCCAUGACUCUAAGUCUGUGUCUGCCUCUGUCAGUGUCAAACCGCCAACAAUAACUGCGUUUGAGAUGUUUACAUCCUCUUUCUCAAUGAUAUCCAUGAUGUUAAAGUUCUGUUCAAUAUGUUAUCUUUCUAGUGAACUCAGCUGCUCUAAUCAGCCACUGCUGUUGCAAUCUCUCUCCUGGCUGGCUCGCCACUUUCUGUAACACGUCACACCCAAAUAUCUUGCAAGUUAUUUUAUCAAUGGACCAGUAAGUUCAGCAUUCUAGGUUCGUCCGAGAAGAGAGAUGUGCGACAGCAGUGAACCACUCAGAUACAGGGGUUGAGGUACGAAUAAGAAAGAUUAUAUUUUUAACAAUGAAUUAACAAUGUCAUAAAUAAAAAAAAAACAAUUUUGUUUCUCACACUCAGUGUAUAAUGACCUCAAUUUAGUUACAUUCAAUAGUAAGGAUUUGUACCAGGUUCCUUUUCCUUUACAGACUUAUGGCAAUAUCACUCGUCAAGGAAUGUUCACAACCUCCAACCAAUGGGCGGCUCGCCAGUCCAAACUCCACCGUUAUGUGCACAGGAGAGAGUUGAGACAGUUCACAAUCCAGGAAAAGGUUCACACUUCACUUGAUUCGUAUCCAGAACAGGCAACAUGCAGUAGAUGAACAUCAAACAGGACAUCACAAGGAAACAAACAAGGAGAGGAAAAAAAAAAAAAACCUAGCCUUGAAAACACAAGGCAAAAAAAAUAAAAAAAAUAUAUAUAAUCAAUCAAUUAGCACUUUCCAAUGUAUAUACUGAUUCAACACAAAUUUCAAAUAAACAAUAUACAUUCAUAUACUUCUGUGUACGGAAUUUCUUUGUAUGAUUUUUCUUUCCUUAUUUGGCAUUCCCUUUUUAACAAUAUAAGCAUUGCACUUAAAUUUUAUGCAGUCACUUGCAUAAUUAUCUUAUUUGACACACAAAGCAUAUUAAUUAUUGGUAUUUCACAGGAAUUACCAUUACUUUUCUCUCUAUUUCUCUCUUAGGUCUGUGUCCAUCAUUUAUCACCACACCAAAUAAAUGGUUAAUUUACGAAACACAUUUUUAACAAGACUUCAAAC
Molecule: long non-coding RNA, 1201 nt
Organism: Cyprinus carpio carpio
Lineage: Eukaryota; Metazoa; Chordata; Actinopteri; Cypriniformes; Cyprinidae
Source: Ensembl